Molecule: ribosomal RNA, 501 nt
Filed under: uncultured bacterium
Lineage: Bacteria
Description: partial 16S ribosomal RNA
Rfam family: Bacterial small subunit ribosomal RNA
Source: RNAcentral
AUUGAACGCUGGCGGAAUGCUUUACACAUGCAAGUCGAACAGCAGCAUAGGUGCCUGCACCUGAUGGCGAGUGGCGAACGGGUGAGUAAUACAUCGGAACGUGCCCAGUCGUGGGGGAUAACGUAGCGGAAGUUACGCUAAUACCGCAUACGAUCUACGGAUGAAAGCGGGGGACCGUAAGGCCUCGCGCGAUUGGAGCGGCCGAUGUCAGAUUAGGUAGUUGGUGGGGUAAAGGCCCACCAAGCCAACGAUCUGUAGCUGGUCUGAGAGGACGACCAGCCACACUGGGACUGAGACACGGCCCAGACUCCGACGGGAGGCAGCAGUGGGGAAUUUUGGACAAUGGGCGCAAGCCUGAUCCAGCCAUUCCGCGUGCAGGAUGAAGGCCUUCGGGUUGUAAACUGCUUUUGUACGGAACGAAAAGCUCUGGGUUAAUACCCCGGGUCAUGACGGUACCGUAAGAAUAAGCACCGGCUAACUACGUGCCAGCAGCAGCCGCCG